AUUGAACGCUGGCGGCAGGCUUAACACAUGCAAGUCGAGCGGGGUGAUGGUGCUUGCACUAUCACUUAGCGGCGGACGGGUGAGUAAUGCUUAGGAAUCUGCCUAUUAGUGGGGGACAACAUCUCGAAAGGGAUGCUAAUACCGCAUACGUCCUACGGGAGAAAGCAGGGGAUCACUUGUGACCUUGCGCUAAUAGAUGAGCCUAAGUCGGAUUAGCUAGUUGGUGGGGUAAAGGCCUACCAAGGCGACGAUCUGUAGCGGGUCUGAGAGGAUGAUCCGCCACACUGGGACUGAGACACGGCCCAGACUCCUACGGGAGGCAGCAGUGGGGAAUAUUGGACAAUGGGGGGAACCCUGAUCCAGCCAUGCCGCGUGUGUGAAGAAGGCCUUAUGGUUGUGAAGCACUUUAAGUGAGGAGGAGGCUCUUUUGGUUAAUACCCAAGAUGAGUGGACGUUACUCGCAGAAUAAGCACCGGCUAACUCUGUGCCAGCAGCAGCCGCGG
This 503-nucleotide ribosomal RNA is filed under the name uncultured bacterium. Its description in RNAcentral is "partial 16S ribosomal RNA". It matches the Rfam family "Bacterial small subunit ribosomal RNA", at positions 30 to 523 of the family's 1533-position model. The record is from RNAcentral.